AGACAAGGGUAGGUAGCCAAACAACCCAGAGAAGAGAUUGGCAUUAGAGUUAGCAGAGGAUGAAGAAAGAGACCCAGGGCUUGGGCAGUGGGGCCUUAGAGCUCAGCCUGCUUCUGAGAAGCUUUUCCAUGUAGAAACUGGGGUUUAAAUCUCAGACAUGCUGGGAUUUCACCCCAUUUACUUCCUGCUGUUCUAGUGAAUUGGGUACUGUGGGUCACUUGCUCUGAUCAAAGACCUUUUCCAUCUUUCUCUGAACAUUGAAGACCUGUUCCAACCAAGCCUAAGGAGACUAAAGUCAUGGACUCUUCCUUCCUCAAAUAAAGCCACUUCUUUCAUACACUUGCA
This 345-nucleotide long non-coding RNA is filed under the name Mus musculus (house mouse). RNAcentral describes it as "RIKEN cDNA 4930538L07 gene". The record is from RNAcentral. Lineage: Eukaryota; Metazoa; Chordata; Mammalia; Rodentia; Muridae.